AAAAAAAGGAGUUAAAAUAAUAGGUGGAAAGUAAUAUUAUGAUAAACUAAAAUUCAUUUAUUUUUCAACAAAUACUUUUAGGAAAUAAUUCGGUGGGGGUUUAUUCUGUAUGCAUUGUGUGAAAUUACAGAUGUUUCUGAAUGUCUCAACUAAAGAUAUUUUUUCUAAGUUCUAUUUCAGAAGUGAAACAAAGAAAGUGCUUUUCAGAAGGCCAUUAAAAUAAUGAAUCAGACUGAAAGAUCUAUUCUCUACAGAAAACUAUUAAUACUUCUAUAAUAACAACAACAAUUACAAUGAUACUAAUAAUGUUUUCUUGCACAGACUGUGCUAAGUUCAAUCACCAUUGGAGCAGCUGAAAUGGAAACAACAAAUUACAAAGCAAAAGGAUUCUGGAGGAUAUAUCUGUAAUUUCUCUAAAAAUUGCUCCCUGCAUCACUCAUAUUCAAAUGAGUCUGUGAGAUCAAUCCACACUAGUCUGCCAACUGAUCUUUCAGCUUCCACCAUUCUCCAAUCAGAAGCCAGGAUGAACUUUUAAUUAUAAAUUAGAAUAUGUCAUUUGCUUCCUUGAAACACUUCAAUGGGGGCUUCCCUGGGUGGUCUAGCAGUUAAGAAUCUGACUGCCAAUACAGGGAACGCGGGCUCAAUUCCUGAUCCAGGAAGAUUCCACGUGUCACGGAGCAAGUAAGCCCAUGUACCGCAACUGCUGAGCCCACACAAAUUAGAGCCCUCCUUCGCAACAAGAGAAGACACCACAGUGAGAAGCCUGCACGGCCCAACUAUGCGGCAGUCCCCACUCACUGCAGCCAAAGAAAGCCUGUGCGUAGCGACAAAAACCUAGUGGAGCCAAAAGUAAAUCAAAAAAUCUUAAAAAAAAAAAAAAAAAGCCACCUGGAGCAUUCCCAUUUCCUUAGAAUGAAAUAGAAAUUUUCACCAGGGCUUACCCAGACCCACUUCCCCUUUGCCCACCCGUCUUCACUUCUUCCCACUCUCCCUCUGGUUGACAUACUUUAUUACCAUGUUUCCAACAUGUUCCCUUCAGUCCCACCACCAGAGGAUCUGAAGAAAGCUUCCCUUCUCUGUUGCAAUUUUGUGGGGUUUUCACAUUUGGAUCUCGGCUUAUAAGUCAUCGUCUCAGAGAGGCCCUUUCUGCCUUCUCUGACCAGGCAGAGGAUCAUGUAGGGCACUGAGAAAGGGUUCAACAGUGGUUUAUUAGAUUAGUGAGAAAGGGGAGUGAGAGUGUUUUAUACACUAUUAAGCAUAAAAUGCAUGUGAACAUUUGUUAGUUGUUUUUUUUUAAGUAACAAAUACAUGUAAUAAAAUGUACACUAAUAAAUGAGACCAUGUCUUCAUGGUCACUAUGAGAGAAA
Molecule: long non-coding RNA, 1367 nt
Organism: Dama dama (fallow deer)
Lineage: Eukaryota; Metazoa; Chordata; Mammalia; Artiodactyla; Cervidae
Exons: 2
Source: RefSeq, a predicted model, not a curated record